UACAGACUCCAUCCCCCGUUUACUAUUUCUUUCCUAUUUUUAUUUUAAAUUGCGGUUAUGUUUAGCGCAAUUGCUGAGAAUUGUGAGAAAUUGUAGUUGCGAAGCUGUUGUUGAAACUCGUGAAACCUCAGUAUUGUGUAUGCAAUUGCGGUUUUAGUUUCAAGGAUAAAAUUGUCAUUUCAUGAGAGGUAGUUUCAAGGAGAUAAAAAUGUCAUUAUAAGUAAAAGUAGAAUGAUAUAACAAUCAUUACAUUGUGUUUCUUUUUUCUUUUUACAACACUUCCCUGGUAAUAGAGGAGUCUGGCUCCAUAAAACUCUACUUAUACUUGUAAUGACAUUUUUAUCCUUGAAAUUGCUUACCUUUAUGGUGAUAGAGGAGUCUAGCUCGAUCUUGUUAAGGAGUCCAAACAUAAAGUUUACAUUAUAAAGUACUACACUUGAGUUUUCAUAGUAUUGAAUGCAUUGCUUUCCUAUACACGUUCUAUCUUGAAUUCCCUCAUUUAUAAUUCUUAGUUGGGCAUAUAAUUAUGGUCUGUUUGUAAGUUAGAUUUUGGAUGGUAAAAGAGGGAAAGAAAGGCUUCAAAACUAUGAAUCACACUUGUGAGAUGACUCUGAAGAUUACUUUCAUUUCCUUCCCAAAUCCAACUCGCAAACAAACCCUUAGUUACACAAACUUAUUAUUGUAUGCCAUAUGUAUUACUGAAAUUAUUAUUUGAUGUGUAUAAGAUUGUGGAAAGCAUGUUACAAGUGGAUAUCUAUAUUUGAAGGACAGGAGUUAGAUGAAGUUUGUUUAGAUGUUUAUGGUACUAUUCUCCAAUAAAAACAUAACAUGUUAGCAAUUUUCUUAUGUUUUCAUUAAUAAGUUUUAAGAAUACUGGAUGGCAAUAGUACAAGCACUCUUGUGCCAUUUACAACUGUCUUUAAAGAUUUCAAAUAAUGACUGAAGUGCGUAAGUGAUUAUGACAGUCACAGAACAUGAUUACCUAAGAAUUUUUCUUAAGGGUUUCCAAUUGUGGUUUAUAUUCCUGUGGUUUCACAUUAUUGGAGAGUCUAACACUUCUUGUACUAAAAUCAUAUGUGUAUGUUAUGUGGAGUAACUUCCUAUGUAUGUGUAGAAGCUCCCAAAAGAUGUUGAAGCCAAUUAGUUUAUGCCCAUGAGUGUGUUAAUAUUUUACUUUAAUAAGUGAUGCUCAAGUAUUGAUUGUAUGAUUUUAAUGGAUAAAUGGAUUAGUGUAUGAUGGUUCAUGUUUUGUCUUUGAAAAUGAAGGCUGUUAUAAGUUAAGUUAAAAGGUCUUUAUGAGUUCGGUCGCAAAGUUAGUUGUAACUUACAGUAUAUAUUCCCAGAAAAGCAGAAAAUGCUCAUUAGCCAUUUGGUUAGGGGUUUCCCCCCUCCACAAUAGUGAAGAAACAGUUCCUAAUUGCCAAUGUAAGCCGAAACAAACAAACUGUGAACUUACCAGCAAGCUUAUUACUCAAUUGACACUGGCUUCAAAAAUGGGAUGUUAUGAUGUUGUUUUAGGUUUCAUCCUCCACCUGAUAGUCUAUCCACUUCCCUACCCAUUUGCUUGCAUCUCCAAUGUGCCAAAGUAAACAAAGAAAAGAAAAUAUUGAAGUCAGGGGACAAGGCACGAUGUUGUGGGACUUAGGAUCUGGCUAGGCAAAUCGGGGUUGUGUUUCCUCUGAGUUUGCACUGUAUAUAUAUGAUAAUGAAAUAUAUAGGGGAAGGUUUUUCCCUAUCAAAAACUAUCUCCAAUACUUGAGAUGAUCUUGUGAUGAAAUGUUAAUUUGAUUUGAAUAGAAUGGGGUGAUGAGGAUCUAACACUUGUCCACUUUGUCUCAGAGAUUUUGAUUCCAUGAAGAUGUUUCAAUCAUGCUAUGUUAUGCCAUUCCUUAUAGUAUGUAGAUGUCCAUAUUACAUGCAGGAAUGUGAUAAGUGAUAAGAAAAGUUUAAAUACAGCGAAACUAAUGUUUGAAUUCUUGACGGGGUCCCAUUUUUAUGCUUUUCUAUUCUGAUUUCUGAAGAAUUUAUGAGAAUUCAUAAUUGUUUAAAUGGAGGAACCAUUUUUGUUGGACUAUGCAGUCAAGGUGUAUCUUAAUUUCUGCCCCUUGAGAUUUAACACCUGAUAAUAUUUUGUGCCACAUAUGUUUAUCAGCUUUGGUUUUGCUUGAUAACUAGAAAAUCAACAUUUUUCAUGGCGGAGAUAUUCCUUUUAAGCUGUUUGCUUGAAAGAUUCUUUCUUGUUAUGUAAUUUUAUUAACUAAUCCUUCACCCAUUAGCACUUGUUAAUUUGUUGACUUCCCUCAUUAACUUUGCUUGCAGCCCAAUUGACUUUGUAGUCAAUGGCUCAAUGCUGCUAUACAUGCAUAAAAUAAGGCAUAGAAAGCCUACCGUAAGAACUAG
RNAcentral lists this long non-coding RNA (2400 nucleotides) under Lupinus angustifolius (narrow-leaved blue lupine). Its description in RNAcentral is "long non-coding RNA (LANG_LNC000663)". Lineage: Eukaryota; Viridiplantae; Streptophyta; Magnoliopsida; Fabales; Fabaceae. The record is from RNAcentral.